AAUAUAUUUAAAAAAAUAAAAUAAAGAAAAGUGUAGGGAUCACAUCCUCAGAUUUUCCUGUCCUCCAACCCCCUAGUCACCCAGAGCUGUGGCUUGCAGCCCUGCAUAGAGGCUUUGUCUGUCCCUCCUCCCUGCAGCCUCCUCUCCUGGGGGCUCCUGCCCACUGUACCUCUGGAUCCCUCUUUCUAUAUCCUCAUCUGAACCCAGUUCCCUGCCUUUCCUAAAGACCAAUCCGGCUGUGAUUUCAGUGUUGUCUGAGCAGAGGGCUAUGGGGUGGGGGCAGAGGCUUUCUGGAAGAAACCAAGAGCCUGAGAAGGCUAGCUGCCUUUGGCAUCAAAGCACCCCUCCCCCUCCCAUUGAUUCAUUGUUGCCCUUGUCCCAAAUGUCCUCAGGCCAUGAAUGGUCAUCUCCUUUAAGACAAUGCUCACUGCUAGCUGACGAGGCCAUGAGCUCCACGGAGGGCUUGAGACAAAUGUCCUCUAUCUCUCAAGGCCAGGGGCUCACAGCCACAUUUUGCAGCUUGAGUAGGAUGGGAGUUGUGGGUCAGUCCAGGGCUGCUGGUGGCCAAAGUAAAGACCAAGGGGCAGUCCACACAGAUAGCCCAGACCCACUGGCUGGGACAGUUCUGGAUGUCAUUUCAGGCACAUCCUGGCACUCAAUGAGAAUGACAGUCCCUGAAGCUAUACCACAAUGUCCUCUGCACAUGAGGAGUGGAUGGGGACCUGGGUAAGCACUACAAUAUUACGAGAUGGGACUGGCACUUGGGCGAGGCCAGGGUGUCCCCAGCUGAUGCUGGAAGUGGGGUAUAAGCAGCUCUAGAAUUCUCGAUCCUCUGGCUGAAUGGGGAGAUCCCAGGUGGCCUGGCUUCUGCCCACUGGGUCAGUGAGUUCCUCCGCUGCUGAUGGCACUGUGUUAUAGUGGAGGAGGGAGGUUGGUGCUCCAGACUCCAGCAGCUCCAAAUCCGAGGGGCACCCAGAGAGAGGUGUGAGAGUGCUUUCCCAGAACUGAAGGGAAGUAAGAGCAGUGGAGCCUGGCCUGAGCAAAUGGCCAGGAGAGAAAGAGGCUACAGGAGGGAUACCAGAGGGUCAUCGCCUGUGUGGAUGCUGGAAUGUGGCGCUUAGGGUUCCAGAAGUUGAGCCUGGGAAGGGAGGAGAGUGCCAGACUCAAACCCACAGCCAGAAAGAGCAGUGCCCAGGGUGCAGGCCACUGGCAAGGAAGGCUAGGCAGGUGGCCAGAGACUUUGAUCCUCAGCAAUAGCAAACAUAAGAUGGGGGCAGGUGAGGAAACCACAGGAAAAGCCACGACCAGCUUCUCGCACAGCCUUCCUCAUUCCUCUGGCUCAGCAGCGUCCCCCUAGACUUGAGGUACAAUCUCUCUUACAGCUGAUAGGGAGGUGCUUUGCAGCACACAGUAGGUGCUUUAUAAAUGUCAGCUUAAUAGCUAAGUUAUAAGAAGCUGAAAACAGGCUGCCCUGGAACUUGGUGUUGGAAAGAGGGACUUGAGGGCAGUGCAAACGGUAAAAGCCUAAAUGUCCUGUUGCCCAUCCACCUACCUUUGAAAUGCUCCACCCCAAGAAGCCAGACAGAGAAUGAUUAGUGCCCUGAGGACAACACUAGGCAGGGGGUGACAAUGAUCCCAUUUUACAGCAAAGAAACUGACGUUCAAAGUAAAUAACUUGCUGAAUGUCAGACAGCUCCUAAUUCGGACACUCAAACUUUGAAUCCCGCUGUCUGGACCACACAGAAUUCACUCGCUCUGAAUGAUCCCAUCGCAGGGAGCCACGUCUCCCCGGCCUCUCAGACCAACGCUCCAGGGGAGUGUGGUGGGGCCAGGUGGAAGCCCCCUUUUCUAGAUCCCUGAGUUCCCCCAGGCUUCCGGCAGGGGGCGCCAUGCUCCUCCCGAAGUUCUAGUUUAAGACCAAAAGGUGGCGGUCCGCCAGGUUCAGAGGGACGCUCCCUAGUUAAAAGCCCGUUUCAGGAGGACGGGAAGGCUAGAAGCGAUGAAGUCAGCAAAGAGAGCUAAUGGUGCAAGAACUGUCCCGGCCCCAGGGCCCGGGAUGUGAAGCAGAGGGGUGGAGUUGAGGGGCGGGAGCCCAACGAGAGAGAGAGAGAGAGAGAGAG
This is a long non-coding RNA of Myotis brandtii (Brandt's bat), 2120 nucleotides long. RefSeq lists it as uncharacterized. Lineage: Eukaryota; Metazoa; Chordata; Mammalia; Chiroptera; Vespertilionidae. The transcript has 3 exons. The record is from RefSeq and is a predicted model, not a curated record.